CAAUAGCGUAUAUUAAAGUUGUUGCGGUUAAAAAGCUCGUAGUUGGAUUUCUGCCGAGGACGACCGGUCCGCCCUGUGGGUGAGCAUCUGGAUCGGCCUGGGCAUCUUCUUGGGGAACGUAGCUGCACUUGACUGUGUGGUGCGGUAUCCAGGACUUUUACCUUGAGGAAAUUAGAGUGUUUCAAGCAGGCGCACGCCUUGAAUACAUUAGCAUGGAAUAAUAAUAUAGGACCUGUUUUCUAUUUUGUUGGUUUCUAGAGAAUAGGUAAUGGUUAAUAGGGAUAAUUGGGGGCAUUCGUAUUAAGGCGUCAGAGGUGGAAUUCUUGGAUUGCCUUACGACGAACUACUGCGAAAGCAUUUGCCAAGGAUGUUUUCAUUGAUCAAGAACGAAAGUAU
RNAcentral lists this ribosomal RNA (396 nucleotides) under uncultured eukaryote. RNAcentral describes it as "SSU rRNA". It matches the Rfam family "Eukaryotic small subunit ribosomal RNA", at positions 592 to 992 of the family's 1831-position model. The record is from RNAcentral.